UACUCUCUGUGCGAUUUCCCCCAGGGAAGA
RNAcentral lists this non-coding RNA (30 nucleotides) under Rattus norvegicus (Norway rat). Lineage: Eukaryota; Metazoa; Chordata; Mammalia; Rodentia; Muridae. The record is from RNAcentral.